GGAAAGAAAACAAAGCAUUCGGUCGAAGCGGGCACGCGCCUGAGUCUCACAGUACUGUAACCAGCCACUACCCAAACGCGCUACUUUUUUUCAACCAGAGCCUGCAAAGCCACGAUUCAGCUUUUUGCCGCCUUCUGAGAGCCUAUGGGAGCCGUAGGAAGUGUCACGUUAUAGCAGAGAUCCUCAGUCUUCAAUAAACAGAGGCAAGAAGAACGACACCUUGUCAGACAGGCCACUUCCUGCAUGAAAUCUUCUCAGGUUUUGGCCUGCCAUAUGAGUUCUGUUAUACUCACAGACACCAUUCAAACAGUUUUAGAAACUUUAGGGUGUUUUCUAUCCAAAGCCAAUAAUUAUAUGCAUAUUCUAGUUACUGGGCAGGUGUAGUAACCAGAUUAAAUCGGGUACGUUUUUUAUCCAGCCAUGUCAAUACUGCCCCCUAGCCCUAACAGGUUAACAAUAG
Molecule: long non-coding RNA, 460 nt
Filed under: Salmo salar (Atlantic salmon)
Lineage: Eukaryota; Metazoa; Chordata; Actinopteri; Salmoniformes; Salmonidae
Description: lncRNA (ENSSSAG00000103361.1)
Source: RNAcentral